AUUGCCUCAGUAACGGCGAGUGAAGCGGCAACAGCCCAGAUUUGAAAUCUGACCUUCGGGUCCGAGUUGUAAUCUGCAGAUGAGUCUUCCGGCAGAGCGCCGUCCAAGUGCCCUGGAACGGGUCGCCGGAGAGGGUGAGAGCCCCGUACCGACGCGCGCCGAGCCUCUGUGAAGCUCAUUCGAAGAGUCGAGUAGUUUGGAAAUGCUGCUCUAAUUGUGGGGUAAAUCUCCCAUAAGGCUAAAUACCGGCCAGAGACCGAUAGCGCACAAGUAGCGUGAGCGAAAGAUGAAAAGAGCCUUGAACAAGGGCGUCAAAAAGCAUGUGAAAUUGUUGUGGGGGAAGCGUUCGAUGCCAGACAUGGCGGCGGUUGGUUACCCGGCGUUCUUCGCCGGCGCACUCUGCCGUCGCCAGGCCAGCAUCAGUUCGGAUCGAGGCCUACUGCCAGUGGGAACGUGGCUCCUCCGGGAGUGUUAUAGCCCAUUGGUAACGUCUCGGACCGGACUGAGGACCGCGCUUCGGCUCGGAUGCUGGCGUAAUGGCCUCUAGCGACCCGUCUUGAAACACGGACCAAGGAGUUGACCUAGCGUGCGAGUGUUUGGGUGUCAAGCCCUUACGCGCAGUGAAAGCGAAUGCAGGUGGGAGCUUCGGCGCACCAUCGACCGAUCCUGAAGUUUACGGAUGGAUUUGAGUAAGAGCACGUUGGGUCUGACCCGAAAGAAGGUGAACUAUGCAUGAAUAGGGUGAAGCCAGAGGAAACUCUGGUGGAGGCUCGCAGCG
RNAcentral lists this ribosomal RNA (778 nucleotides) under Phaeoisaria sp. RNAcentral describes it as "partial large subunit ribosomal RNA". It matches the Rfam family "Eukaryotic large subunit ribosomal RNA", at positions 74 to 882 of the family's 3401-position model. Lineage: Eukaryota; Fungi; Ascomycota; Sordariomycetes; Pleurotheciales; Pleurotheciaceae. The record is from RNAcentral.